RNAcentral lists this ribosomal RNA (770 nucleotides) under uncultured bacterium. Its description in RNAcentral is "bacterial SSU rRNA". It matches the Rfam family "Bacterial small subunit ribosomal RNA", at positions 149 to 896 of the family's 1533-position model. The record is from RNAcentral.
CCGGGAAACUGGUGCUAAUACCGGAUAAUCUCCACCGGCGGCAUCGUUGGUGGAGGAAAGUCGGCCUCUGGAUAUGCUGGCGCUUGUCGAUGAGUUCACGUCCCAUUAGCUUGUUGGUGGGGUAACGGCCCACCAAGGCGACGAUGGGUAGCCGGCCUGAGAGGGUGGUCGGCCACACUGGGACUGAGACACGGCCCAGACUCCUACGGGAGGCAGCAGUGGGGAAUCUUCCGCAAUGGGCGCAAGCCUGACGGAGCGACGCCGCGUGAGGGACGAAGGCCUUCGGGUUGUAAACCUCUUUUCUGGGGGAAGAACGUCCGGCCUGUUAAUAGCGGGUUGGGUUGACGGUACCUCAGGAAUAAGCCCCGGCUAACUACGUGCCAGCAGCCGCGGUAAUACGUAGGGGGCGAGCGUUGUCCGGAAUCACUGGGCGUAAAGGGCGCGUAGGCGGCUUGAGAAGUCGCAGGUGAAAUCCCGCGGCUCAACCGUGGAACUGCCUGCGAAACCAUUGGGCUUGAGGACAGGAGAGGGAAGCGGAAUUCCUGGUGUAGCGGUGAAAUGCGUAGAUAUCAGGAGGAACACCAGUGGCGAAGGCGGCUUUCUGGCCUGGUCCUGACGCUGAGGCGCGAAAGCUAGGGGAGCAAACAGGAUUAGAUACCCUGGUAGUCCUAGCUGUAAACGAUGGGCACUAGGUGUUGGGGGGUUCAUACCCUUCAGUGCCGUAGGUAACCCAAUAAGUGCCCCGCCUGGGGAGUACGGUCGCAAGACUG